CGGUGCUUGCCUGGGAUCAGGGGGCUUGAUACGUUGGUGACNNNNNNNNNNACCUGCAAUCCGCUAUAGCAGGGUUGAAUUCCCUCCCGAGGCAUGUUUCGGACGGCAACUUCGCCUGCGGUGAAAAUGUUGAUAGCUGGGCCCUGUGCGACGGGAGCUGGUGAAAUCCGUCAGGACCGGAAGGUAGCAGCGGUAAGUCAUGUCUUCCUGGGUGCUUCAGGAUCCCCCGGCUGGAGUUUUCGCCGUGGAACGAAGACCGGCUGAGGAUGUCGAAGUAGGGUGCACGG
This 287-nucleotide signal recognition particle RNA is filed under the name Candidatus Latescibacterota bacterium. RNAcentral describes it as "signal recognition particle sRNA large type". It matches the Rfam family "Bacterial large signal recognition particle RNA". Rfam says of the family: The signal recognition particle (SRP) is a universally conserved ribonucleoprotein involved in the co-translational targeting of proteins to membranes. Archaeal SRP consists of a 7S RNA and homologues of the eukaryotic SRP19 and SRP54 proteins. Lineage: Bacteria; Pseudomonadati; Candidatus Latescibacterota. The record is from RNAcentral.